CCUACGGGAGGCUGCAGUCGAGGAUCUUCGGCAAUGGGGGCAACCCUGACCGAGCGAUGCCGCGUGCGGGACGAAGGCCUUCGGGUUGUAAACCGCUGUCGAGGGGGAGGAAGCCGCAAGGUUGACCCAUCCCUGGAGGAAGCUCGGGCUAAGUUCGUGCCAGCAGCCGCGGUAAGACGAACCGAGCGAACGUUGUUCGGAAUCACUGGGCUUAAAGGGCGCGUAGGCGGGCCGGAUGGUCCGGGGUGAAAUCCUCCCGCUCAACGGGAGAACGG
RNAcentral lists this ribosomal RNA (275 nucleotides) under uncultured Gemmata sp. RNAcentral describes it as "partial 16S ribosomal RNA". It matches the Rfam family "Bacterial small subunit ribosomal RNA", at positions 338 to 623 of the family's 1533-position model. Lineage: Bacteria; Pseudomonadati; Planctomycetota; Planctomycetia; Gemmatales; Gemmataceae. The record is from RNAcentral.